GAUGAACGCUGGCGGCGUGCCUAAUACAUGCAAGUCGAGCGAACAGACGAGGAGCUUGCUCCUCUGACGUUAGCGGCGGACGGGUGAGUAACACGUGGAUAACCUACCUAUAAGACUGGGAUAACUUCGGGAAACCGGAGCUAAUACCGGAUAAUAUAUUGAACCGCAUGGUUCACUAGUGAAAGACGGUUUUGCUGUCACUUAUAGAUGGAUCCGCGCCGCAUUAGCUAGUUGGUAAGGUAACGGCUUACCAAGGCAACGAUUCGUAGCCCACCUGAGAGGGUGAUCGGCCACACUGGAACUGAGAAACGGUCCAGACUCCUACGGGAGGCAGCAGUAGGGAAUCUUCCGCAAUGGGCGAAAGCCUGACGGAGCAACGCCGCGUGAGUGAUGAAGGUCUUCGGAUCGUAAAACUCUGUUAUUAGGGAAGAACAAAUGUGUAAGUAACUAUGCACGUCUUGACGGUACCUAAUCAGAAAGCCACGGCUAACUACGUG
Molecule: ribosomal RNA, 497 nt
Filed under: uncultured bacterium
Lineage: Bacteria
Description: partial 16S ribosomal RNA
Rfam family: Bacterial small subunit ribosomal RNA
Source: RNAcentral